AUGUAUGGUUUUUAUGAGGAUAUGAUUGUCACCAUGGAUCUUGGUGAUCCUGACAGCGAGGAAGACAAUAUGGACAUUUGGGUCCUUAUUGAUACGCUUCCGAUUGUACCGCUAUCUUAUUUUGAUUCUUCAAAGACUGUGCGGAAGAUGGUAGAUAAAACACAGUACACCGAAGGCACCCAAUUAACGUAUAAGGACAAAAAUCAUCUGAUCGCAUUUUGUACUCUUCUUGAGAAUUACAAUGACUAUUAUCGAACUCCUCCAAAUUAUGGUGAAUACGUGCCACUAGUGCAUGUGUUGAACAACGAUAACUUCUCUGGAGAUACCCUGGUAAGAUUUUUUACUAUUACGACAUCCGUGCAUCUUUUGCAUACUUCUAAAACUAGUACAUCAUUGCUAACUACGAAGUUAUUAUUAUGUUUUUCAACAGAAACUCCCGAUGGAUUGUGUGCCUCAUCUGAUGUCUCUGCAUGGUCGCCUCUCAGUUCUGAACAUACUGCCAGGUAA
This 507-nucleotide ribosomal RNA is filed under the name Triticum aestivum (bread wheat). Its description in RNAcentral is "partial small subunit ribosomal RNA". Lineage: Eukaryota; Viridiplantae; Streptophyta; Magnoliopsida; Poales; Poaceae. The record is from RNAcentral.